RNAcentral lists this ribosomal RNA (497 nucleotides) under uncultured bacterium. RNAcentral's name for it is "partial 16S ribosomal RNA". It matches the Rfam family "Bacterial small subunit ribosomal RNA", at positions 28 to 507 of the family's 1533-position model. The record is from RNAcentral.
GAUGAACGCUGGCGGCGUGCCUAAUACAUGCAAGUCGAGCGAACAGACGAGGAGCUUGCUCCUCUGACGUUAGCGGCGGACGGGUGAGUAACACGUGGAUAACCUACCUAUAAGACUGGGAUAACUUCGGGAAACCGGAUCUAAUACCGGAUAAUAUAUUGAACCGCAUGGUUCAAUAGUGAAAGACGGUUUUGCUGUCACUUAUAGGUGGAUCCGCGCCGCAUUAGCUAGUUGGUAAGGUAACGGCUUACCAAGGCAACGAUGCGUAGCCGACCUGAGAGGGUGAUCAGCCACACUGGAACUGAGACACGGUCCAGACUCCUACGGGAGGCAGCAGUAGGGAAUAUUCCGCAAUGGGCGAAAGCCUGACGGAGCAAUGCCGCGUGAGUGAUGAAGGUCUUCGGAUCGUAAAACUCUGUUAUUAGGGAAGAACAAAUGUGUAAGUAACUAUGCACGUCUUGACGGUACCUAAUCAGAAAGCCACGGCUAACUACGUG